UGGCGGCAUGCCUUACACAUGCAAGUCGAACGGCAGCACGGAGCUUGCUCUGGUGGCGAGUGGCGAACGGGUGAGUAAUAUAUCGGAACGUACCCUGGAGUGGGGGAUAACGUAGCGAAAGUUACGCUAAUACCGCAUACGAUCUAAGGAUGAAAGUGGGGGAUCGCAAGACCUCAUGCUCGUGGAGCGGCCGAUAUCUGAUUAGCUAGUUGGUAGGGUAAAAGCCUACCAAGGCAUCGAUCAGUAGCUGGUCUGAGAGGACGACCAGCCACACUGGAACUGAGACACGGUCCAGACUCCUACGGGAGGCAGCAGUGGGGAAUUUUGGACAAUGGGCGAAAGCCUGAUCCAGCAAUGCCGCGUGAGUGAAGAAGGCCUUCGGGUUGUAAAGCUCUUUUGUCAGGGAAGAAACGGUGAGAGCUAAUAUCUCUUGCUAAUGACGGUACCUGAAGAAUAAGCACCGGCUAACUACGUGCCAGCAGCCGCGGUAAUACGUAGGGUGCAAGCGUUAAUCGGAAUUACUGGGCGUAAAGCGUGCGCAGGCGGUUUUGUAAGUCUGAUGUGAAAUCCCGGGCUCAACCUGGGAAUUGCAUUGGAGACUGCAAGGCUAAAAUCUGG
Molecule: ribosomal RNA, 618 nt
Filed under: uncultured bacterium
Lineage: Bacteria
Description: bacterial SSU rRNA
Rfam family: Bacterial small subunit ribosomal RNA
Source: RNAcentral